This 500-nucleotide ribosomal RNA is filed under the name uncultured bacterium. RNAcentral's name for it is "bacterial SSU rRNA". It matches the Rfam family "Bacterial small subunit ribosomal RNA", at positions 52 to 598 of the family's 1533-position model. The record is from RNAcentral.
UACAUGCAAGUCGAACGAACACUUCGGUGUUAGUGGCGCACGGGUGCGUAACGCGUGGGAAUCUACCCUUGGGUUCGGAAUAACAGUUAGAAAUGACUGCUAAUACCGGAUGAUGACGUAAGUCCAAAGAUUUAUCGCCCAAGGAUGAGCCCGCGUAAGAUUAGCUAGUUGGUAAGGUAAAGGCUUACCAAGGCUACGAUCUUUAGCUGGUCUGAGAGGAUGAUCAGCCACACUGGGACUGAGACACGGCCCAGACUCCUACGGGAGGCAGCAGUAGGGAAUAUUGGACAAUGGGGGCAACCCUGAUCCAGCAAUGCCGCGUGAGUGAUGAAGGCCUUAGGGUUGUAAAGCUCUUUUACCCGAGAUGAUAAUGACAGUAUCGGGAGAAUAAGCUCCGGCUAACUCCGUGCCAGCAGCCGCGGUAAUACGGAGGGAGCUAGCGUUGUUCGGAAUUACUGGGCGUAAAGCGCGCGUAGGCGGCUGUUUAAGUCAGAGGUGAA